AAAACAUGGCUCUCUGCUUAUGUAAAUAUAGAGAGUCGAGCCUGCCCAGUGAAUUUUCAACGGCCGCGGUACCCUGACCGUGCAAAGGUAGCAUAAUCAUUUGCCUUAUAAUUGAAGGCUAGUAUGAAUGGUUUGACGAGAGCAACGCUGUCUCUUUUUUAUUUUCAAGAACUUAACUUUUAGGUGAAGAGGCCUAAAUUUUAUUGAAGGACAAGAAGACCCUGUCGAGCUUAAAAGAUAUUAUAGAAGUGCAUAUAUUUUUAAAUAAAUUUUCUAUUCAGCUUUUUAGUUGGGGCGACUAAGGAACAAAAAGAGCUUCUUAUUAAUAAUAAACACUCAUGUUUAGAUCCGGCAAUAACCGAUCAAAGGAAUUAGUUACCGCAGGGAUAACAGCAUAAUCUCUCUUGAGAGACCUAAUCGAAAGAGGGGGUUGUGACCUCGAUGUUGGACUAGAAUAUCCUAAAGAUGCAGA
RNAcentral lists this ribosomal RNA (472 nucleotides) under Hua aristarchorum. Its description in RNAcentral is "partial large subunit ribosomal RNA". It matches the Rfam family "Bacterial large subunit ribosomal RNA", at positions 1810 to 2559 of the family's 2925-position model. Lineage: Eukaryota; Metazoa; Mollusca; Gastropoda; Semisulcospiridae. The record is from RNAcentral.